Molecule: ribosomal RNA, 403 nt
Filed under: uncultured bacterium
Lineage: Bacteria
Description: bacterial SSU rRNA
Rfam family: Bacterial small subunit ribosomal RNA
Source: RNAcentral
UAGGGAAUAUUGCAAAAUGGGCGAAAGCCCGAUGCAGCAGCGCCGCGUGGGCGAUGAAGGCCUUCGGGUCGUAAAGCCCUUUUUGAGGGGAUGAGGAAGGACAGUACCCUCAGAAUAAGCCUCGGCUAACUUCGUGCCAGCAGCCGCGGUAAUACGAAGGGUGCAAGCGUUACUCGGAAUUACUGGGCGUAAAGCGUGCGUAGGCGGUCUGUUAAGUCUGCUGUGAAAUCCCCGGGCUCAACCUGGGAAUGGCAGUGGAAACUGGCGGGCUAGAGUACGGUAGAGGAUGGUGGAAUUCCCGGUGUAGCGGUGAAAUGCGUAGAGAUCGGGAGGAACACCAGUGGCGAAGGCGGCCAUCUGGACCAGUACUGACGCUGAGGCACGAAAGCGUGGGGAGCAAACA